RNAcentral lists this ribosomal RNA (544 nucleotides) under Dothiorella gregaria. RNAcentral describes it as "eukaryotic LSU rRNA". The stretch from base 172 to 325 matches the Rfam family "5.8S ribosomal RNA". Lineage: Eukaryota; Fungi; Ascomycota; Dothideomycetes; Botryosphaeriales; Botryosphaeriaceae. The record is from RNAcentral.
UCCGUAGGGUGAACCUGCGGAAGGAUCAUUACCUAGAGUUUGUGGGCUUUGCCUGCUAUCUCUUACCCAUGUCUUUUGAGUACUUACGUUUCCUCGGCGGGUCCGCCCGCCGAUUGGACAAAAUUAAACCCUUUGCAGUUGCAAUCAGCGUCUGAAAAACAUAAUAGUUACAACUUUCAACAACGGAUCUCUUGGUUCUGGCAUCGAUGAAGAACGCAGCGAAAUGCGAUAAGUAGUGUGAAUUGCAGAAUUCAGUGAAUCAUCGAAUCUUUGAACGCACAUUGCGCCCCUUGGUAUUCCAUGGGGCAUGCCUGUUCGAGCGUCAUUUGUACCUUCAAGCUCUGCUUGGUGUUGGGUGUUUGUCUCGCCUUUGCGUGUAGACUCGCCUCAAAACAAUUGGCAGCCGGCGUAUUGAUUUCGGAGCGCAGUACAUCUCGCGCUUUGCACUCAUAACGACGACGUCCAAAAAGUACAUUUUUACACUCUUGACCUCGGAUCAGGUAGGGAUACCCGCUGAACUUAAGCAUAUCAAUAAGGCGGAGGA